Molecule: long non-coding RNA, 3862 nt
Filed under: Sus scrofa (pig)
Lineage: Eukaryota; Metazoa; Chordata; Mammalia; Artiodactyla; Suidae
Description: lncRNA (ENSSSCG00050007605.1)
Source: RNAcentral
CCUUUUCUAGGGCCACUCCCUCAGCACAUGGAGGUUCCCAGUCUAGGGGUCUAAUCGAUGCUGUAGCCACUGGCCUAGGCCUCAGCCACCACAAUGUGGGACCUGAGCCUUGUCUGCAGCCCACGGCAACACCAGAUCCUUAACCCACUGAGUGAGGCCAGGGAUCAAACCCGCAACCUCAUGGUUCCUAGUCGGAUUCGUUAACCACUGAGCCACGACGGGAACUCCUGAAUUAGACACCUACUGCUUGAUGGAUGGGGAGAUGAUAAGGUCAUCCUGUAGAAGAGCUUGUGAGACAUGCAAUAUGUCUUUGGAAUGUGCCAUCUGCCAUUGUCUUUGGAAUGUGCCAUCUGCCAUAACCAGUUUGGACCUCAGUGUGAAGUUAGACAAAGUUGCCUCUCCACUCCUACAGACCUAGUCCCAUGACUCUCCUCCUGUUUGUUGCCUUUACCCUCAAAUUCUUCCACAACCCAGAUUCUACUUUUCUCUAACAUCCCUUACAGAACUUCACUAUUUUGAGUCCCACUUUCCUCCUGACCCCAUUAGAUAACUGGAGGCAGCACUUGGCAGUGGAAAGAGCGCUGAAUGAAAAGUCACCUCCCAAUGCUUCUACCAGUGAUCCAGGUUCUCCUAGGCAACUCACCACAACUGCAGUUUUCUCAUUUACAUGAUACAGGCAUGUGGGUUUGGGGGAUAAGAUAAAACCAUCUUCAACAUCAAUUCUAAUCAUUCCUAAAUCUAAUAUGAGUUCAGGAGUAAACGGAUAACCACAAAAGAUCGCUAUUUAACCCUGCUAAAAAUAUUUAGUUAGCAUCGUUCUUCAACAAUUUUGAGUAAAUACAGAAGAGAGGAGUUCAAAUGUCCUUUGGCAGCCACAAAUAGGUAAAAAGCUAGCAAAAAUAUGAAGAAUGCCACUGAAAUGACCACGAAUGGUUUGUUGCAAAUACAUAAUCUAAGGGAUGUAUUCUAAGUUCCUCCAGUAAUGUAAUAGUUCACUGAACAUUAGCAUGGUUGUGAAGGGGAGACUCUACUGGAAGCAGUGACCCAGGGGUGCAUGUUCUUUCCAUUUUGUGGUUAUACAGUAGUUAUACCAUCUGGACAUGUGACCAUGGAGGAAGACAGAAGAAUGGAGAGGGUGGGGACCACACAGGCAUAUUUAUGUGCAACUCAGAAGUAGAGCACAUCACUCCUUCCCACAUCUUAUUGGCCAGAUUGCUGUCACAGGGUCUGAACCAACCCGUGAGAGAGUCUGGGAAAUGUAGUCUUCCUUUGUGCCUAGAAAAAAAGAAAUGGAUUGGCAAACAUCUAACACAUGACAGGACCACUUACAAAGGAGAUGUACUUUGUUUCCACCUUACACCAUUUGCUGCUUGGGGCCAUUUAAAGAGCUAUUCAUUGUCCAACCAAUUGGAUUCCAUAACCCAGAUCUCUCUUUGGUGGUUGAAAUAGCCAGAACAUGGUGUAUAAAAGCACAUACACACAUUCUCUCUCUCUCUCUCAUUGCUAGCAGCAAAUGUGCUAACAGCAUAGUUGAUUUGGGUCUAUUAAUAAUGGAUCCUCAUAAUAAGCAUAGCUCUGUGUCAGACACCGGGCUGUGUGUUUUACUUUCGUGCAUUAUCUCAAUUGAUCUUCACAGAAUUGUGUGAGGCAGUCAUUCAUUAUUAUUCUCAUUUUACAGAUGAGGAAAUGAAACUCAAGUGAGAUAAUUUGCUCAAAGUCAUCCCAUGACAAAGUGGCAAGGUCGGGACCCAUAUCUGAGUCCAUCUGGUUAUCGAACCAGUGCUCUUAACUGCUAUGCUGUACUGACCUCCCAUGUGUAAAGACACUGCCAGAGUGAGGAGGAAGGAGAUCCCAUGGGGAAGGAACUUCAGGCUUUUCUCAUCUUAUAGGCACAGUAGUUCUAAGUGUGACUUUCUGACCCUCCCAAGAGUUUUGCAUACAUGACCUGGACGGAAGCUGCACACAGUCCAGCUUUAUGUUGCACCACAGGAUGACGUUCCCACUGCUCUGCUCUGUCUCAAAGCCCGCUCCAUUUUCCACCCUGGCACAGGGAAUGAUCCCAGUGUGGAGCUUGGCUAUAAAACUCAGCCUGCACCACACUUGCUCACACUUGAUAUAUUGCCAUAUGCUAUCUUAAAAUGCUUGUAUGUGCAGCUUAAUCUUUGCACCUACAGGGGAAACGAGACCAAAGCCGUGCCUUUCCCCCAGCACCUAGUGCUGUACAAGGCACAGCAGAGGUGUCCGAGAAACACAUGCUGAUAUAGAGUGAGCAGCCAUGACGUCACCUCUGUACCUCAGUUUCCUCCUUUAUAACAUUAAGGGUUUUGGCAGGAGAAUAUCUAAGGGCUCAACCAGCUCUAUGAUUCUACAUAUUGCUAGGCAUUCCUCUUCAAGGGCAUCCUGUUCAAAAACUUCAUAAAUUUUUCCUGCAAAGCCAAAGUCACUGAAUGGUCACAGGGCAAGGAUAGUCACAUAUUCACUAACUAACUAACCUUUCCAAACACAUGUGAUUAUAACUGAGUUUCCAUAAAGAAAAUUGCCUUUUAAAGUGACAGGAAGCCAUUAUUGUAAAAUGACUAAUAAUGCAGCAAAGAGCCGUAACGUGAUUCUUGCCCAAGUCAUUAAUCAAUUGAUGCAUUUUAACAAGGAGCUUCCUUAUGCAUUCGCUAGUCAUUUAUUCAAAUCAAGUAAAUAUUGUCCACAUUGUCCACUGAGAAAGAACAGGAUGAUUUAUUAAGGAAUUGAGAAGACCACAUUUCUUGGAGAAAUUUUACAAUGAAGGAUUCUUUCAAUAAAGUGUUUUCAAGGAGUCAGAUGGCCCUAUAGGCUAUGCAAUGUGUUUGCAUAUCUUGGAGCCUCAUCGAAUUCUGUCUAGCAGCCUAAUGCAGUGAGGUUUAAGGCUACUCCCCUUGCCUCCUGGAUCAGUUGCUCUCACACUUGAGGACAAUACCAUUCAAGAGGCAAUAGCUUGGUAACAAAGACCCUGAUAGCCAUUUGUACUUUUAAGUCAAUGGCUUGCCUCCCUUUCUGGUUUAUCAAAUACGUAGGUACUUUGCAAACCAAAAGCUUCGAACUUAGAUGGGUUUCGUUGGAACCUGGCAGCAUCUCCUAGCAGGAUUUGUCAGCUCUAUUCCACAGCUAUUAUCACUUCCACAAGGAGAGGACAGAGGCAAGAUAGUUCUAGGACCUGCAACCAAGGACUUUUUCCUGUUUAGAAGGAAAUGCUCAAAACAACCUCAAAUGUGAAGCUACUGGAAAACUAUAGAUGAUGAUCCACUUACCACUAACCAGGAUAUGAUAACAUUGAAGGUCAGAGCAGUCAAUAGGUGCCAAGUUAGGGCAAAAUUUAGACCAGAAUAUAUCUACCCAAUGGCAAAGUAUCUCGUAAAUUCAAAUAAUUUUUUUUAAAGCAUAUCCUUUAAAUUUAGGUAAGGAUAUAGAUAUAUAGAGAGUGAUUUUUUUUCCUUUCAUAUGGGCUGUUGAAACAUCCUAGAAACACUACCUGGGACUUUUCCCAGGAGUUUUGUGAUCUGAUUUUUGCCAACUGGCCUCAAACACAUCUGUACACACACUCAGAGACACGUACGCCAACACAGAGUUAGAAAGCUUCUUCACUUUUUAUUGUGACCCCCAGACACUUAGAGGAUUCCCUGCCCUCCAGAAAGAACAUUGCCAAGGCUUCUGCAAGUGUGGAAGAGUGUACUCCUUCCUUCUGAAGAAAUGAUGGAAUUAAAAGGGAGGCUCAAAAUCCGAAGCAAAAAAGGGAGGCUCUGCGUGGGCAACAUCUUAAGCCACCUCACCUUGCAUUCUUAUCAUAUAUAAGGGUCCAUUCGGAGCUGUAGCCACCAGCCUAUGCCACAGC